AACUUCCCCAACCCUGCAGUGCCAGAGAUGAUAGAAACAGAAGUCCUUCAUAAUCUAGCUACUGGUAAAGGCUUUUUGAAACAGAGCUCAAAAGUACCCCGUUCUGGCGUAACCAUGGCAACAGCCUCCUGUGCUGUCAACAUGGCGGACGAAGAAAACACACUAACUGUGAGGAUAAUUUACUUGCUAUGAAUUGGAAUUACAAUGGUAAACCGAAUAAAAUCUGCAAUGUCUUGGAUAUAACUAGCUGGGAUGUUUGUUGUUAGCAGUGUAAUAUGUCUAGAAACGUUUUGCUUAGCAUUCUCCAGCUCUAGCUAGCUGAAAACAUAGCAGCUAGCUAGCGACUAGCUUGUUAAUGCUAGCAAAGUCGUUACAGCAGUAAUUGUUGACGUUACAGCUCCGUAUGGGGCCAUGGCUAAAAGGGAUGGAAGGUUGGAAGGUUUUGCAUUUUAACUAACCUCUUUCCUAAUCUUAACCUAAUUGUCACAAAAUGCUACAUUAUCACGUUUUGCUUAGCUAGAUAAUUAGCUGAACUCACGAAAUUAAUGUCAUAACGUUAUUUUUCGAAAUCAAGGGGUAUGCCUUUAUUCCAUCUGUCGAUAAUUAGUGUACAUUCAAAUAGUUCAUUAAUGACGACCAAUAUUACUGGACGCCACAAGCAGAUGUGAAGUCGUCAUUACUAGUCGGCGACACGUUGUUAUUGUUGGACAGCAAACAUGGCGGAUGAAAGUGUUGCUGUGGAGCCAGCCUUCUUAAUGUACUUUCGUUGCUGCAUUUGGUAAAUAAUGCUGUAGUAAAAUUGCAAUAGAGCAUGCCGAGUCUACUUUCUAGUAGUCAGAAUAAUUUCACUCAAAAUAUACGCCUGAGCAGACAACGAUAUGACCUUGAACGACAGCACAGACAACGGGUUUUGCGUUUACGCGCUACACCCACUAUAUGUACUGAAGAAAGAAGCAGCAAUCGAGGUGUGGAAGCGGGGUCGAAGACGCGGUGAAGAUGUUGGCAGUAUGAUGUUGACGGUGAUCAAUGGCGCAAACAGUUCCGCAUGACUCAGACCACAUUUGAACACCUUGCACAGUUAGUAGAGUCUGGGAACUAAACAGACCACCAAUGUCUGAAACACAAUUGAAUACCGUCGAAGGCUUGCUCUAUUUUUGUGGUGGUGUGCAACACCAAGCGAGCACCAGAUUAUUUCAAGUUUAUUUGGAGUCGUUGUCUCCACAGGUGACUGCAGCUGUCGUGAAGACAAGUACAACCGCUUUAUUUCGCUACCCGGUGGUAAAGGCAUCCUAGCCACCAUCUGUGGGUUUAAGCAACUUGGGUAUCCGCAAUGUGCUGGUGAUCAUCGGUGAGACACACAUCCCCAUCACUGCCCCAAAAUCAUAUCCAAAGGACUACUUGAACAGCAAAGGGCAGCAUUAUUCUGUGUUGCAGGCCAUUGCUGAUCACAACCUCAGAGUUCUGCGAUUGUCAUUGGUGUAGAGAUGCCAGUUCAUCCGGUAGGAGACCCAGCGUACCCACUGAAGAGGUGGUUAAUGACAGGCUUUUCCCAGGACACAUCUCUGAAUAACCACCAGCAGAAGUUUAAUGACCACCUGAGUUCUGCCAGGGUGGCUAUUGACGACGUCUUAGGACACUUGAAGGACACUCAGAGAGAUGUUUGGUGAAGUGCAUCGACGUUAAGUUGACGACAGACACUGUAACGGCUUGUUGCAUACUGCACAAUGUGUGCAAACUGAAGAAAUAAUUGUUUCUGGCUGAAUGGAACCGGAACAUCAUUGGCCAAGAUCAUCAGCAGACAGAGGCUAAGCUCACAGAGCAAGACCAUAGUUUACUACAAGGGCCAGUGGAGGAAAGUGUUGCUACUGUACGGGAUGCAAUUAUGACCUCUUUACAUGACCCCAUCAUAACCGUGCGCGGUGCUCAAGUUGUGGCUAUGCCAAAAAAUAACAUUUUGUAACAAUGUGAAUUUGCAGUGCAACAUUUAAAACAUUUUUUUUUUGCUUGAAUGAUAUUUCCUUUUGCACAGUACGUUUUCAAGAUGUUCGUGAAUGUUAUUUACAUUUACAUUUACAUUUAAGUCAUUUAGCAGACGCUCUUAUCCAGAGCGACUUACAAAUUGGUGCAUUCACCUUAUGACAAUACAUAAACUAUACAUCUGAAGCAUCCAUUCCAUCCAAACUUCUCUCCUGUCUUCAGGUUCAGGAAUUUCAGCGGAUGCUUGUGCCUGCACGCCAUUCCAAACACACCAGCUAUGUCCAGUUUCUGGAUUUUGGAUUGCAGCACAUCCCCGGCUAGAAAUCCUGGGCACCCCUGUUUAGGUGCACAUGUUAGACUUUGUAUUUGUAUGAUUUUUUUUCACGUGAACGUUGUUACAUUACUUUAUACUUAAGAUGUUUUUAUGUGAAUGCUUUGUUCUUGGAAGAGCUCCUCAAUAAAUGGGUUUUAUGAACAUGUG
This is a long non-coding RNA of Oncorhynchus nerka (sockeye salmon), 2458 nucleotides long. RefSeq lists it as uncharacterized. Lineage: Eukaryota; Metazoa; Chordata; Actinopteri; Salmoniformes; Salmonidae. The record is from RefSeq and is a predicted model, not a curated record. The transcript is spliced from 2 exons.